This 1681-nucleotide unclassified non-coding RNA is filed under the name Leishmania donovani. Its description in RNAcentral is "gene:LdHU3.23.0510(CDS-product:tryptophanyl-tRNA_ synthetase_putative)". Lineage: Eukaryota; Euglenozoa; Kinetoplastea; Trypanosomatida; Trypanosomatidae. The record is from RNAcentral.
AUGACGAAAAGUUUCUCUUUCGCGACGUCCCCUUCGAGGGCGCCAAGGCGGACGAGCUUAUUCGCAGCAACAUCAAGGAUAUCAUCGCCUUCGACUUCAACCCGCGCCACACCUUCAUAUUCCGAAACACGCACUACAUGGGCGAUAUGUACCCGACGGUGCUCCGGCUGCAGCGUUGCAUGACAGGCAACGCUGUGAAGCACACGCUCGGCAUCACGGACAGCGAUAAUGUCGGCAAACUCGCCUUUCCUGCCACCCAGGCUGCUCCGUGCUUCAGCACCGCUUUCCGUCGUGUUCUGCAGAACGGCGACAGGCCGAUGCGGUGCCUGAUUCCCUGCGCCAUUGAUCAGGAUCCCUUCUUCGUUCUCACGCGCGCCGCCGCGCUGCGGCUGAAGCAGCUACCACCGGCCCUGCUUCACACGAAGUUCCUGCCGGCUCUCAAAGGCCUGGAGCACAAGAUGAGCAGCAGCGCAGAGGAGAAGGGCGUCAUUACCCUACAUGACACAGAUAAACAGGUGCGCAAGAAGCUGCGCCGCGCCUUCUCGGGCGGCUGCGCCACCCUAGAGCAGAUGCAAGAGGCGGGCGCCAUCCUGGAGGUGGAUGUGGCGUACCAGUACCUGCGGUUCUUCUGCCCUGAUGACACACUCUUCGCCGACGUGACGCAGCGCUACCGCAGCGGUGCCCUGAAUAGCGGAGAGGUGAAAGACCUGGCGGCGGAUUGCAUCAUCCGUGAGGUGCUGCACGAUUGGCGGAAGCGGCGCGCAACGGUGACGGACGAUGACGUGGUGGAGUUCUGCAGUAUCCGUAACAUUCUUCUCUGAGCCGUGUCCCGCGGAUGCUGAGGCGGAGGGCGUGGCAGUGAAGUCUGUGUAAGGCUUGUAAACGUGCAGGGAUGCUGCACGCCUUCUUUUUGCAAGGCAUGCGGCAGCGCACACUGCCUGGGUCGCCGCUGCAGGCGAAUGAUGAACGGAGACUUCUGUAGAGUUGUAUCUCUGCGCGUGCGUGGAUAUGCGUGGGUGACGGUGCUGGUGAUGGUUGUGAAGUCUGUCAGCUUCCGUGGGUGUUGUUCUCCCCCCUGUGCCUCGUUCCGCGGCGGCAGCCCCACCAGUGCGCUGGUCGGUGCAUGCGCUUCUACGCGAGCACACACAUAUGCGCGCAUUGGAGGCGGCGAAGCGAGCAGAUAUCGAUGGGGAAGGGGCAAGAGCGCGAGAGAGCCACAGGUGCGUCGGAAGGCGGUAGAGCUGCGCACCGCCUCCAAAGACAGAAGCGCGAAGGAAUCGCAGAAUCGUAGAGGAAGCGCAGGGCGAAAAGACAGCAAGACGACGCGCAACGCGAGAGCACGGCAGCGGCAGCACUCUGCUCUGCGCUGCUCUUUCGGGCACAGACGUGUUGCACAAGCGGACACAUCGCUGAGGCAACGCACUGAGAACUAAGCAAAACGAUGAAAACAUGUGUUCUGCGGCUCAGCUGAGGAUUUGAAGUGCGCCACCACCACCGCCACCACCUUGCCCAUCUCGAGUGGGGUGUGGAAGGUUUGGUGAAAAGGGGGAAGAGCGUCAGAGGUCACUUUCAUCACGUCUUGCCGCGGCUUGUUGUUUUAUCGUUCGCGCUGCAUUAGCGGUCGUGCGUUGUGUGCGUACGUGCGGGUCAGGCCAGCCACUGCCUUCCUCCCCGCACCAAC